CACUAAGCCAAGGAAAAACACUGUGCUGUGCACUUCCCUACAUCUUUAUUACAGUAACGCGCAACUAUGCAUCGCCACAUGGGUGGAGCUGUUGGGAAUCUGUUGUGAGUCUUAUCCAUUGUUGCACCAGUGCAACAACAGGUUUAGCUUAUUUAGCGGUUCAGGUGCUGAUGGGUGAUUUAGUGACUGGGGAAAGAAGUCCUUUAGAGAUGAAACAUGUGUCCAACUGUUUAACACACUUUUCAGUGAAUUUUUCCCCCCCCCACACGCACCAUUUAGAUCAAACGGUGUUGCCAUGAUAAGCCCAAUUUAACUCAUUGGCCAAAAACUAGCAUUUCGCUAAAAUUGUAAGCACUUACCAUAUUGGGCUCAUGCUAAAGUUUGUAGCUUUAACAAUAUAAUGUUUAGUCAACCUGAAUACUACAUUAAUAUAAACUUUGGGAUGGAGGCUCAGAGUUUGUCGGUCCUUGAAAGGCAUUCCUUUAAUUAAAUAUAUGUACAUAUUGAAAUUCUGAGCAUUCUUCUGCAUGCAAUCUUAAAACUAUCAUAACUCCUGCUAUUAUGCUAUGAUUUUCUAAAUCUGCUCUCAUUUGCUUGGUUUUCUUGUCACGGUUUCUCUGCAACUGCAUGCAGUUUAAUAUCAUUUAGCAUUUAUUGUCUACAUUGUGCAUGCCAUAUUUCAUAUCCUGCUCUCCCUACUCCUCUGCCUUCUCCUGUGCUGAUCAAAAUAAUCUGCAGCGUUUCUUGCACAGAGAGAGAAGACUCACUCAGCAACACUCAGCUGUCAGCUACACAUAAAUCUUACGAGAAGCACUGUACACCAAGCUGAAAUUGAAGUGCCCCUCGGUGCCCCAGCUAGGAUGCCAGCCUACCAGAGGGAUGCCAGUGGGGUAGCUGUUACACUCUACACUUCAGUGAUCUGUCCCGUUGCCGGGCAGAUUUUGAAACGGCCAUCUAUGACGCCAGUGCAAUCUUAGCAAUCAGGGUUGGGCUGUAGUCAUAUUAAGCUACUGCUGCUGCAUGUAAGUUUGUGUGAAUGUGUCUGUAUGGGGUUGUAGGGGUGAAAGAGGGGUGCAACCUGACCCCUUUCCUUCUCCUACUUGGUCUCUCGCUCUGUGUCUCACGCACAUGCACACACACUAGGACAGCUGCCAUACUAGGGGCCUCUCCCAGUGCACCAGAGGAAAAGGCUAAAGCUAAAAGAACCCUUUCCCCUCAUGUUUCAGACGCUUUUUCUUUCUUCUCCAUCUCUCUUACUUUUUUUCCCUUCAGGUGGCUCAACAUUUUAAAUCCUGCAAAGCUCCCUGGGGUCAACAAAUGCUCCUGCUCCCCCAUCUCUCACUGCUUCCACCUCCACCAAGCCAAAGACUGGAGACUUCAAUCGGAGCUGAAUUCAAAUACAAAUCGUUGUAUUCGUCGACAUCAUCUCACAGAGCAUCACCUAAAAACAACAGCUUUUCUCCAAAGCGAAACAAAAUAUGCGACAACAGGUGAAGCGAAACACCUCAAGAAGCUGUAAGCAGCGCUUCGGAGCGAACCAUUGCAAGCGCCAUCUCAGGCUCCUUUCCAGCGCUCCCAGAGGACCCCAGACGGCAGGCUGGCUCUCGACAGGCAGGCGGCCAGAGAGGACGCCUGACCAUAACCCAGAUGACGUGCGAUGGAUGUGGUGGGAAAAGGGCGGGGUGGAGGAAGUAAGGGUACUUUAAAGGGUAAAGAGGAGGAGUGGGGGUAUUAAAUAUCAACAGACAACUCCCCGAAA
Molecule: long non-coding RNA, 1759 nt
Organism: Maylandia zebra (zebra mbuna)
Lineage: Eukaryota; Metazoa; Chordata; Actinopteri; Cichliformes; Cichlidae
Source: RefSeq, a predicted model, not a curated record